Molecule: ribosomal RNA, 366 nt
Filed under: uncultured bacterium
Lineage: Bacteria
Description: bacterial SSU rRNA
Rfam family: Bacterial small subunit ribosomal RNA
Source: RNAcentral
AACGAACGCUGGCGGCGUGCCUGAGACAUGCAAGUCGUGGGAGAAAGUCGGAGCAAUCCGGCUAGUAAACCGGCGCACGGGUGAGUAACACGUGGACAACCUGCCUUGGAGUUCGGGAUAACCCGUCGAAAGACGGACUAAUACCGGAUAUGACCACGGGGAGUUCGCUCUCUGAGGUAAAAGAUGGCCUCUGCUCCUGCAAGCUAUCUCUUCGAGAGGGGUCCNCGUCCUANCAGCUAGUUGGUGAGGUAACGGCUCACCAAGGCUAAGACGGGUAGGCUGGUCUGAGGAGGAUGGUCAGCCACACUGGGACUGAGACACGGCCCAGAGUCCUACGGGAUGCAGCAGUCAGGAAUAUUGCGCAAU